RNAcentral lists this unclassified non-coding RNA (574 nucleotides) under Suillus collinitus. RNAcentral's name for it is "partial ITS1, 5.8S rRNA, ITS2". The stretch from base 222 to 376 matches the Rfam family "5.8S ribosomal RNA". Lineage: Eukaryota; Fungi; Basidiomycota; Agaricomycetes; Boletales; Suillaceae. The record is from RNAcentral.
AGUUACAUUAACGAAAAAGCAAUCCGGCGAGGGAAAGGCGGAGAGUUGUAGCUGGCCCUAGGCAACGUGCACGCUCUCUUCUGGACUUUCGUCGUAUGGGCGUGGGGGGGCGACCCCUCGCGUCUUCAUAUACCUCUUCGUGUAGAAAGUCUUUGAAUGUCAUCAUCAUCAUGGAGUCGCGACUUCCAGGAGACGCGAUUCUUUGAGACAAAAGUUAUUACAACUUUCAGCAACGGAUCUCUUGGCUCUCGCAUCGAUGAAGAACGCAGCGAAUCGCGAUAUGUAAUGUGAAUUGCAGAUCUACAGUGAAUCAUCGAAUCUUUGAACGCACCUUGCGCUCCUCGGUGUUCCGAGGAGCAUGCCUGUUUGAGCGUCAGUAAAUUCUCAACCCCUCUCGAUUUUUUUUCGUGCGGGUGCUUGGAUGGUGGGGGCUGCCGGAGACCUGGAUACGUUCAGGACUCGGGCUCCUCUGAAAUGAAUCGGCUUGCGGUCGACUUUUCGACUUUGCAUGACAAGGCCUUUGGCGUGAUAAUGAUCGCCGUCGCCGAAGUGCACGACAGAAUCCGUCCCGUGC